Non-coding RNA from Castor canadensis (American beaver), 5049 nucleotides. The record is from RefSeq and is a predicted model, not a curated record. Lineage: Eukaryota; Metazoa; Chordata; Mammalia; Rodentia; Castoridae.
AUGAGGCCACUGUGGUGUCGUGGCUGGUGGCUGGGACUGCUGGCCCCCUGGAGCUGCCUGCAGGCCCGCGAGGAUGGUUUUUGAGGGCACGGAGGAGGGCUCCACCGCGAGAGUACCUUUUACUCAACAGGUAUAGCGGGCAGAGGCGAGUCCCCGGACAAGUGCACCUAACGUUCAUUGUGCCCCAGCAGCUGGUGCACGGGAGCCAUAUGGCGUCAAUUCCAAGGAGCCCGAAGGUGCUCUGGAGAACCGCGUGCAUAAGCAGGAGCUUGGGAGCUGCUCAACAACGAGCUGGCUCAAGCAGAAAGCGGCAAGAUCGAGACGCUGCAACAGCUGGGUGGAGGUGGAGGUGGCAUCGUGAAGUGAGGGUGAAGCUGCUGCGCAAGGAGAGCCGCAAUAUGGAACUCACGCGUCACAGUAUCAGCUCUACAUGCAGCUACUGCACGAGUAUUCAUCGUAAGCGAGACAAUGCCGUUGGAGCUCUCCCCAGCUUUGGAGAACGCGCAUCCUCACCAGACGGCCGACAUGCUGCAGCUGGCCAGCAAGUACUCAAGGACCUGGAGCACAAGUACCAGCACCUGGCCGACACUGGCCCAACAACCUAAAUCGGAGGUCAAAUCGCGCAGCGCUCGAGGAAGCACUGCAGAGGGUGCCUGCAGCCAGGCCUGUUGCCCCAGACGCCCUGCGGCCCCGCCACAGGUCUACAGCCGCCACCUAAACAACCGCAUUCAUCAACCCAGAAUUCUCUUUAACCCAUGAGAUCCAGAGGCGACCAGAACCUGAAGGUGCUGCACCCCUCUGCCACCAUGCCUGCCCUCUCACGCAGCCUCCCAUCCUCUACAGACCCACCUCAAGGCCCAUGGAGAGACUGUCUGCAGGCCCUAGAGGAUGGUCAUGACACUAGUUCCAUCUACCUGGUAAAGCCUGAGAAUACUAACCGCCUCAUGCAGGUGUGGUGUGACCAGAGACAUGACCCUGGGGGCUGGACUGUCAUCCAGAGGCGCCUGGAUGGCUCUGUCAACUUUUUCAGGAACUGGGAGACAUACAAGCAAGGGUUUGGGAACAUUGAUGGCGAAUACUGGCUGGGCCUGGAGAACAUCUACUGGCUGACGAACCAAGGCAACUACAAACUACUUGUGACCAUGGAGGACUGGUCUGGUCGCAAGGUCUUUGCAGAAUAUGCCAGCUUCCGCCUGGAGCCGGAGAGCGAGUAUUACAAACUUCGGCUGGGGCGCUACCAUGGCAAUGCAGGAGAUUCCUUCACCUGGCACAAUGGCAAGCAGUUCACCACUCUGGACAGAGACCAUGAUGUCUACACAGGAAACUGUGCCCACUACCAGAAGGGAGGUUGGUGGUAUAAUGCCUGUGCCCACUCUAACCUCAAUGGGGUCUGGUACCGCGGGGGCCAUUACCGGAGUCGCUACCAGGAUGGGGUCUACUGGGCUGAGUUCCGAGGAGGUUCCUACUCGCUGAAGAAAGUGGUGAUGAUGAUCCGGCCCAACCCCAACACCUUCCACUAAGCCUGCUCCCCUCCUGGUCCUCCUGUGGCCAUCACCAGGAGUUGCCCUGGCCAUGCAGCCCCAACACAACUCCUUUCCAGUUCACCUUGGGGCUGGGAAGAUGGGAUGCUGAAUUCUGCUUUCCAAAGUCACUGUGCCACAUUAACAGAACUGGACUGAUAAGAGUGUUUUCUGUCCCUUCUACUUUCCUUCACACCAGACAGCCUUUCAGCUUCCCAGGACAGGAUGGGAAUACAGGCAACUCUUUCUUUAAAUCAAUUAAAUCCUCCAACAAAAACACAAGUGCAAACACCUUUAUUACAUACAUGUAUAUGAGCCUCCCUGUGCACUUAUGUGCAUACCAUAUGUACGUGCACUUAGAUACAUAUCACAUGUGAUAUGUGUGGACAUCUAUAUGGAUUUGCCAUAUACACCUAAAUAUUCUAUAUUUGAUUCUCAGAUACUGAAGCUGUCACCAACAGUUGUUCUUCAGAGGAAAGCAUUUCCUUAAUGCUGUGUUACUUGAGUCGAAGGGUAGAACACAGUCUGUGUCGCCCCAAUUCAAAGAGUAAUCCUUGCAUCCACGUGCUCAGAUUCUCCCAGGAAUGUCUACAAGACUCAUCUCUCACAUAGGGGUUCCUGGCCUCCCCGCUGAAGAACCCCUCUGGGCACCUAAUCAAACUUCAAAAUCCCUCUCCCAGUCCAUUGUUAUACUUUCCCUCUUUCUCAGGACCUCUCCACAUCCUUCCACCCAGCUAACCCCUCAUUCAGCACCUUCUGAGCCUCAGUCCCUGGCUGCUCACUGGAGUUCGAGGCACCUCUUCUACCUUCUCCCCUUGCCUCUCCUUUUCUGCCACACAGGUCUUUCUUUCCAGGCAAGAUUCUUUAGCCUCUGAGGAGGAAAGAGUGUGGGCUCAGGUUCUGGCUGGUAAGGUAAGCCAGGCCAAAGGCAAGACUAGCGGCUGUAUAGAUUGUGUAGUCACAGUUUUGUAUCUUCCAUUCAUACUUUAGCCUCCACAUCAUUUUAACCUUCACACAAAUAGUAGCCUGCCUUGCCAGAGACACUCAGCUGAAGAGAAGUCACUGCCAGUGUGUUGAGGCCUCCAGAUGGCCACAGACCUGAGGUCCCAUGCUCAGGUGAACCAGAGUCUGCACCUCAUCCCCUGGAUGACAGGGCCAUGUGAGAGAGAACUGCCCACUUCAAUGAGUUGCUGAACUAUCAAGGGUCGGUGGACCCUGUGGCUGGUGCACCGCAGCAUGGUGCUUCCUGAGUCCUGCUGGGCUCAGUGCUACUGGGACAAUUAACAAGCCAGGGGCAAGAGAUGAGUCUGGAAGGUGAGACCCUCCCAGUGGGCAUGUGGGCUGGGUGUGUGAGGUGUGGGGCGUUUGGUACUGUCUGCAUCUGGGUGCGUGCCUAUUACCUCAGCAUUUCUCACAGUGUACCAUGUAGCAUGUUCUGUGUAUAUAAAAGGGAGGUUUUUUUUUUUUUAAUAUAUUCCAAGAUUAUCCUUGUAAUGACACAAAUCUGCAAUAAAAGCCAUCAGUGCUAUGUGGAUGUAUCCGUACCAUUUGUUACUGUUUUAGAAUGCCUUCUAGGAUCUCAUGGAUCGGGGCCUCUGUAAGGGGAUUCAGCACCAGGGCACACCCCUAAAUCUCUAGAUCACACUCUGCCCCCUCAGGAGUUCUGUGCCAGCACUUCCAGCCAGUAUGGCUCUCUGAAGCCACCUCCUGCAUCUAGCUGAGUCCUGGAUAUCUCUACUGGAACUGCAGAAGCACCUACAGGCAGGGCAGUUAACACCUGAGAUACCUCUCCUCCAGGCUGGUCAUAAGUACUCAAUUGUGGGGGUCAAAACCAAGGUCUUUCUCCUUCUCCUUGCCAAGACUGCUCCUCCUCCACACCAAGCCCAUUUGGCCUCGGUGCAGGCCUUCUCUCCUCUCCCCUCACUGUCACAACAGGCUCUCACAUAAGAGCUCCAGCUCCCUUGUUCUAACCCAAGUUCCACACUAGCUGCCAGACCUAUCUCCUUGUAAAACAAAUCUGUCACUUGGAGGAUGAUUCUAGGCAUGACAGGAAACCCCAAAACCAAAAAGAAGACUAAGGGAUAUGAUUUUUUAAAAACACACCAAUUCUUCUGUCUUCCCCAAAACAAAACAUGACCAAGAUUGAAAGGCAAAUAUCAAACAAGAGAAACAUAUUUGCCACGUUGCUAUUUGUGUUAAUUACAAAUACAGGAUUAAUACUCAUGCCAUACCAAAAGCUUUCAGAAUUGGAAAGAUACAAACACUGUGAAAGAAAACUUGGUAGAGUACACAAGCACCUUAGAUGUCACAAAUAAAUAAGGAAAGAUGUCAACCUCAAAAGGAACCAGGGAGAUACAUUAAAUGAAGGAUAAGCCAUCACAUGUUUACUUCUCAGGUUGGCAAAGAUGAAAACGCUGCCAAAUCUGCAUGUCGAAGAAGGGAUCAAAAACAUGUACUUCCAGCACUAUGGACAGAACUAUAAAUUGACUCAGUAUUUUUGAAGAGUCAUUCAGUAUAUCAAAAACUUAAGUGCAUUUAUGCCCUUUCUUACUUAUGCAGUGUUUCCUUAUCACUAAGCAAAACAACCACCAGAGAGAUUUUUCUAGUCAGUUGUGGGUAGCGCUUACUACAUGAUCAGAAGAGAGCUUACAUUUUUAUUUCACCUUUACAUAGCUCUGUAAAGGAGGGAUUAUUAUUCCUACUCUACAGAAGAGGAGUGAAGCAAGGAUGCCUAACAGGAAUUAAUCCAGAGGGCACUGGGUGUCAGGCCCUGAGCAUGAAUUCUCCAACCUCCUAGUCAGUUGUUAGGAUCACAGUGGAACCUGCAUGCUGCUUAUGAAAAUGUCCCAAACCUUGACACAGACCACAGACACACCCUCCCUACACAUCUGGAGAAGACUAGGAGGAUGAAGGGAGCAAGAACAAAGGAAAACAAGGUGCAUUCUUCUUAUUCACUAGUCUUGGGUCCAAGCCCCAAAGCAGACAGCUCUGGGAAGCCAAGCUGGGCAGUGUGAACCACCCUUUUUCUUUUUCAUUUGGGAUCCAAAUGAAAGUCAGCUACGACACCACCAACUAUUACCACCUCUCAGCACCUGAUCCGUGUCUUAUCCAGCCACACCCUAGCCAUGUGGAAGAACAAGGAACAAGGUCCUCAGAUCUGCAGCCUGCUCUUCCUGGAGUAAACUGGGAAGGAAGAGGUUAGUUUACUAGGCUGCAGCAUGGAACAAGAGCAUGGGAGAUGGGGGGUAAGGGGAAGGCUGUGCUCAGGGGCUCUGAACUGAGUGAGCUGCUCCCUCACCAGCAAACACAGGUAGUCAGCAUCCUCAGGUCUGGCCAAGCCAGAGGGUCUCUGACUCUAGCCAGGGAUCUUUGUAGGCCCACAAUCAUACAAGCUCUAACAACACUGAGUUCUUUCUCCAGGUGGGGAGACAGGAGUCGACAAAGCCCAGAUGUUCUCAGGACCCAGCCAAACCUCCAUAUCCCCAUUUUGUCCAGUACCUUGAACAGUGAUUGAUGUUCUCCAAGCAAG